UCUUCGCUGGAUUUUGGCAUAAGAAUUUUUCCAUUGUACCCUCUUAUAAUAGGACCCAUCAAUACAAAAUUGAGAUGGUCUACAGUCGCCGAAGAAAAAGUGGAUUCGACAUUCAAAUUUUGUCCAUGCAAUACCAACAAAUUGGAGCAGCAAAAAUUGAAAGCAAUAUCAAACAAUCAACAAAACAGGACAAAGUUUAAUUAACACUCCUGGAAGAAGAUGAUGAGAAAGCAAUGAGAGCAAAAAAGUAAAGUGAAAGAGAAAAUAGGAUAGAAAGUUGGAGAAGAUAAAAAUGGAAGAAGAGAGAUUGCAGGGGGAGAAAGAACUUUG
Molecule: long non-coding RNA, 330 nt
Filed under: Solanum tuberosum (potato)
Lineage: Eukaryota; Viridiplantae; Streptophyta; Magnoliopsida; Solanales; Solanaceae
Description: long non-coding RNA (STUB_LNC004768)
Source: RNAcentral